AACGGCCGUACCAUGCGGAAUAUACCGGUUCUCGUUAGAUCACCGAAGUCAAGCAUCAUUGGGCGCGGUCAGUACUUGGGUGGGUGACCACCUGGGAACACUGCGUGCCGUU
RNAcentral lists this ribosomal RNA (112 nucleotides) under Caerostris darwini. Lineage: Eukaryota; Metazoa; Arthropoda; Arachnida; Araneae; Araneidae. The record is from RNAcentral.